RNAcentral lists this transfer RNA (68 nucleotides) under Diplectrona hexapetala (nom. nud.). RNAcentral's name for it is "tRNA-Val". Lineage: Eukaryota; Metazoa; Arthropoda; Insecta; Trichoptera; Hydropsychidae. The record is from RNAcentral.
CAGAUUAUAGAUAGAUAAAGAAUUUUAUUUACAAUAAAAUUAGAAUUGUGCGAAUCAAUUUAAUCUGA